This 464-nucleotide ribosomal RNA is filed under the name uncultured Geobacteraceae bacterium. RNAcentral describes it as "partial 16S ribosomal RNA". It matches the Rfam family "Bacterial small subunit ribosomal RNA", at positions 338 to 794 of the family's 1533-position model. The record is from RNAcentral. Lineage: Bacteria; Pseudomonadati; Thermodesulfobacteriota; Desulfuromonadia; Geobacterales; Geobacteraceae.
CCUACGGGGGGCUGCAGUGGGGAAUUUUGCGCAAUGGGGGCAACCCUGACGCAGCAACGCCGCGUGAGUGAUGAAGGCCUUCGGGUCGUAAAGCUCUGUCAGAGGGGAAGAAAUGCAGGUGGUGAACAACCAUUCUGUUUGACGGUACCCUCAAAGGAAGCACCGGCUAACUCCGUGCCAGCAGCCGCGGUAAUACGGAGGGUGCGAGCGUUGUUCGGAAUUAUUGGGCGUAAAGCGCGUGUAGGCGGUUUGUUAAGCCUGAGGUAAAAGCCCCGGGCUCAACCUGGAAAGUGCAUUGGAUACUGGCAGACGUGAGUACGGGAGAGGAGAGUGAAAUUCCCAGUGUAGGAGUAAAAUCCGUAGAUAUUGGGAGGAACACCGGUGGCGAGGGCGGCGCUCGGGACCGAUACUAACGCUGAGACGCGAAAGCGGGGGGAGCAAACAGGAUUAGAUACCCCUGUAGU